Molecule: ribosomal RNA, 254 nt
Filed under: uncultured prokaryote
Description: partial 16S ribosomal RNA
Rfam family: Bacterial small subunit ribosomal RNA
Source: RNAcentral
ACGUAGGGUGCAGGCGUUAAUCGGAAUUACUGGGCGUAAAGGGCGCGUAGGCGGCCACUGCAAGUCAGUUGUGAAAUCUCCGGGCUUAACUCGGAAAGGUCAACUGAUACUGUGCGACUAGAGUGCAGAAGGGGCAACUGGAAUUCUCGGUGUAGCGGUGAAAUGCGUAGAUAUCGAGAGGAACACCUGCGGCGAAGGCGGGUUGCUGGGCUGACACUGACGCUGAGGCGCGAAAGCCAGGGGAGCGAACGGGA